This 253-nucleotide ribosomal RNA is filed under the name uncultured bacterium. RNAcentral describes it as "partial 16S ribosomal RNA". It matches the Rfam family "Bacterial small subunit ribosomal RNA", at positions 524 to 776 of the family's 1533-position model. The record is from RNAcentral.
UACAGAGGGUGCGAGCGUUAAUCGGAAUUACUGGGCGUAAAGCGCGCGUAGACGGUUUUGUAAGUCAGAUGUGAAAUCCCUGGGCUCAACCUGGGAACUGCAUUUGAGACUGCAUGGCUAGAGUAUGGAAGAGGGAAGUGGAAUUUCCGGUGUAGCGGUGAAAUGCGUAGAUAUCUGGAGGAACACCGGUGGCGAAGGCGGCAUUCUGGACUGCAACUGACACUGAAAGACGAAAGCCAGGGGAGCAAACGGG